GGAAUUGUGAUUAUGACAUCAUAGACAGUUCAGCUGCUUGCACUGGGGGAAAGGGAGAGUAUCAUGGUUACAGCUGGAUCACCUAAGGCAGAGAGGGAAGGAACCAACAGGUAUAUGAAGAAGACUGUAUUUCCUCCUCAGGAAGAAAAAAUCACCUAUAAAGUCCCAGAAUGCUGAAAGCCAAUCUUGGAGAUUGUAAGUAGAAAUUUGAAACAUAUCUCACCAGGGAGUUGAUCAAAAUAAGAAAAGAGAACUAUCAAUAAUAAAAUUUCAGUAACUCAGUAACUCCUAACGAAAAGUGCUUUGCUCUUUUAUCACCAAAUUUGUGAGCAUCACAAGUCCAUCAUAUCAGCCACAGAGAAAGAGCUUCCCACUUGUUUUUAUUUUAUUUUUUAAAUAUUGUUUUACUUACAUAAGAAAAGAGGAAUCAGCAGAAACAAAGCCUCCAGAUGAAAGAGGAAAAACUUAAAGACAUAAAAAUGACCAAAAAAGUUACACACAAAACAAUAAUUGAUACUUUGUAAAAAUUUAAAAUUAUACAUAAUGAGAUGUUUAUAA
This is a long non-coding RNA of Pan paniscus (pygmy chimpanzee), 558 nucleotides long. NCBI's taxonomy places the organism in Eukaryota, Metazoa, Chordata, Mammalia, Primates, Hominidae. The record is from Ensembl.